RNAcentral lists this unclassified non-coding RNA (20 nucleotides) under Chlamydomonas reinhardtii. RNAcentral's name for it is "small RNA Cre_3712". Lineage: Eukaryota; Viridiplantae; Chlorophyta; Chlorophyceae; Chlamydomonadales; Chlamydomonadaceae. The record is from RNAcentral.
UUAAGCAUGUUUAAUACACG